GCGGAGGAAAAGAAAGCAACAGCGAUAGCCUCAGUAACGGCGAGUGAAGCGGCUACAGCUCAAAUUUGAAAUCUGGCCCCCUUUGGAGGUCCGAGUUGUAAUUUGCAGAGGAUGCUUUGGCAUUGGCGGCGGUCUAAGUUCCUUGGAACAGGACAUCGCAGAGGGUGAGAAUCCCGUACGUGGGCGCCUGCCUUUGCCGUGUAAAGCUCCUUCGACGAGUCGAGUUGUUUGGGAAUGCAGCUCUAAAUGGGAGGUAAAUUUCUCCUAAAGCUAAAUACCGGCCAGAGACCGAUAGCGCACAAGUAGAGUGAUCGAAAGAUGAAAAGUACUUUGGAAAGAGAGUCAAAUAGCACGUGAAAUUGUUGAAAGGGAAGCGCUUGCAGCCAGACUUGCCCGCAGUUGCUCACCCAGGCUCUUGCCUGGGGCACUCUUCUGCGGGCAGGCCAGCAUCAGUUUGGGCGGUCGGAUAAAGGUCUCUGUCAUGUACCACCCCUCGGGGUGGCCUUAUAGGGGAGACGCAAUGCGACCAGCCCGGACUGAGGUCCGCGCAUCUGCUAGGAUGCUGGCGUAAUGGCUGUAAGCGGCCCGUCUUGAAACACGGACCAAGGAGUCUAACAUCUAUGCGAGUGUUUGGGUGUCAAGCCCGGGCGCGUAAUGAAAGUGAACGGAGGUGGGAACCUUUCGGGGUGCACCAUCGACCGAUCCUGAUGUCUUCGGAUGGAUUUGAGUAAGAGCAUAGCUGUUGGGACCCGAAAGAUGGUGAACUAUGCUUGAAUAGGGUGAAGCCAGAGGAAACUCUGGUGGAGGCUCGCAGCGGUUCUGACGUGCAAAUCGAUCGUCAAAUUUGGGCAUAGGGGCGAAAGACUAAUCGAACCAUCUAGUAGCUGGUUCCUGCCGAAGUUUCCCUCAGGAUAGCAGUAACGUUUUCAGUUUUAUGAGGUAAAGCGAAUGAUUA
Molecule: small RNA, 955 nt
Filed under: Pseudopithomyces karoo
Lineage: Eukaryota; Fungi; Ascomycota; Dothideomycetes; Pleosporales; Didymosphaeriaceae
Description: eukaryotic LSU rRNA
Rfam family: Eukaryotic large subunit ribosomal RNA
Source: RNAcentral